AUUAAAUAAACAAAAAAUUGUGUUUCAUAUACAACAUUUGAUCAUUAGCGUAUAUCAAUAUUUUUAUUUGAAAAUUUAGAACUAUUACACUUACAAACCCUAACGAAUUCGUUCCUGUUAAAUUCUAGGAUGUCUCUCCAUAAACAUUGUCAGUUUAUCACUGCAUUUAUCAUCGACGUGCGACAUUUAAACAGCUUUAGUUUUUGUUAAUAAAGAAUUUUCUUAAAAAUUGGCUAUACUUUCUUGUUGAAAUCUACUUUGCCAAAGAAUACAGGAUUAAAAGUUUUGUUGAAUGAUUAAAGCUUCUAUACUUUUAAUAUAGUGGUCAUAAUUGACUAAAAGCCAGAUUUCCUUUUAAUAAAAUAAAUUGUACAAUGAAAUAUUAUUUUUUUAAUUAGAUUAUCAACUCACGGUAUGAAGACUGCUUCCCAUAUCAGUUACAAUGUACUAUGUUCAAAAUAGAAUGAAGCUCACGAACAAUUUAAAGUAAAGUAUCUAACUUUAUCCAUUAUUUCCUUUAACAACACUCAUCUGUUGUCCAAGUAAAAUUCACUCAUUAAAAAAUAUCCGACUAUCUUUACUUAUUUAAUGGAGUAAUUGUUAGUUAAUAAAAUAUAGCCUAGUUUCUCAAAAAAUAAUUUUUGCUUAAAAGGAAAUUUUGAUAAAAGUACAACAACGAAAUUUCUUUUUGUGGUCUUUUGUACUAAAAAAAAACAUUACAUUUAAUUUUUAUUUCUUGUUUGUUGCUUUAACUUAGGUUUAGUAUAGAGAUAAAACCGUUUCAGUAACAAAUAAAAAGAUUUGUACAUUUAUAGUUGAUUUCCAUGCUGUGCUUUUCGUGGUAUAUCGAUUAUCCCUAAAACUAUAAAGUGUAAAAUGUUAGCUAAUCCACCACAGUAUCCAAUAUGACUAAAGUCUUUAUUGAUUAAAAUGAAUGAGUACAGAAGAAGUGUUAGAAAAGCUUUGGUCGCUUUUUAUAAUAAAGAUUCUCAGGCAUUGUUUGGGUUACACCGACAUGUGCGUGUACAUAAACGCAGGAUGAAAAACAAUCUUAUAAAUUUUUAAUAAUAUGUAAUGAUGGCCACAGGGCAAUACAUUUAUAUAAUUUCAGUAUUAGAUAUUUCUGAAUUUAUACAUUAUUGGAGUAUUUUUUUUUAUGAAUCGGAAAUGCUAGUCAUCUAGGUUUUAUUAUUGCAACAAUCUGUAGUACUUUACAUGAUUCAAUAUAUUAUAGAAAAAAAGGAAAAGCAUUAAAACUCAU
This is a long non-coding RNA of Hylaeus volcanicus, 1261 nucleotides long. RefSeq lists it as uncharacterized. The record is from RefSeq and is a predicted model, not a curated record. The transcript is spliced from 3 exons. NCBI's taxonomy places the organism in Eukaryota, Metazoa, Arthropoda, Insecta, Hymenoptera, Colletidae.